GCAUCGAUGGUAUAGUUGUUUAUCGCAUACAUCUAACGAAGUGUCUUGGUACUACGUACAGAAGGUGCCCAGUUCGAAUCUGGGUCGACUCA
Armillaria fumosa is the source of this 92-nucleotide non-coding RNA. The record is from the annotation of a GenBank genome assembly. Lineage: Eukaryota; Fungi; Basidiomycota; Agaricomycetes; Agaricales; Physalacriaceae.